UAGUCCCUCGAUUCUACGAGUUUCUGAUUCCCUGCGAUCGUCUCCGUCCGAAGCUCAUAGAAUCCAUGGCCUCCCACGCCGCCGCCGACGACGACCAAACCCUCAGGGCCGAUAAUUUCGUCAAGGCCGUCACCGUUAGGGUUCCGUCGACGCCGCGGAAGCUCCGCGACGACGACGACGACGGCGGCGACUCCACUUGUUGCUCGGCGCGGAGUAGUCGGGCCGAGCUGGCCUCCAAUUUCAAGCGCAGCGUGGCGCCGGCGCGGUUCAUGUUCUACGAGAGCGGGUCGUGGACCAACUUCCCGGGCCGGGUCGUGGAAUUACUCCGGUCGGGUUUCUUUGAGCGCAAGGCGGUGCUCCACUUGGAAAUCGAGGGGUCAACGUACCUGUUUGACUUCGCGCGCAUGCUGCAGAUUGAUUCCGGCACCGGGAGUCAGCGAUCGAUUGCGUGGAUUGACGACAACGGGAAAUGCUUUUUUCCGAGGCGGUUUAUCAGCGACGAGCUGGGCUGUGGCGGGUCGGAUAGUCCGAAGAUUGAAAUCGAGAUCCGGGUCGACGUUUCGGGUCGGAAUUCGGGUAAGAGAAAAAGAGAGGAUGAGGUAGGAGAAGAAGAGAACGAAGUGUCGUCGUUUAAGCGGCAGUCUCAGCCUCAGAGCUCUUCGGAAACUUGGCCGAAUGUGAAACUGUUGAGAGAGGGAGAGAGAGCUUACACGGCGGUGAGCAAUUUCUUUCUCAAAGGGAUUAGAAGAAUCGAUUCUGCGGCUACGAUCAGUGCCAUUCGUCAGUGUGUUCGCUCUGGGCCGUUGGAUAAGGCUCGCUUGGAGGUCUUUCAGAAGCAAAUUGAAAUCACCAAGGCAGCUCGGGGCUUGGCGAAUGUGGUCCACGCUUGGUACGGCGCGUCGUCUAGAGAUAUACAGGGGAUUUUGACUCAUGGGUUUGGCUUGCCCAGCAAGGUUUCUGGGUCUCAUGGUGUUGGUCUCUACCUAUCUCAUUUAUCUUUACCUUUUAGUAGUGGGCUCUUACAGCCCGAUGAUAAUGGCGAAAAACAUGUUCUUUUGUGCCGAGUUAUAUUAGGCAAUGUUGAGAAAGUUGAGGCAGGGUCUCAGCAAUGCUACCCUUCUAGUAUGGAAUUCGAUACUGGUGUGGAUGAUCCUAGGACUCCUACGCGGUAUGUGGUAUGGUCCACUAAUAUGAAUAGGCAUGUUCUGCCCGAGUGUGUUGUGAGCUAUAAACCUUCUGAUCAUGUGCCGGGUUCUCUGCCUAGAAAGUACCAUGUUUCGGAAUUGAUUUCGAGGGUCAGGAAUUCCCUACCCCCUUCAAAAGUUCAGCAAUUGUCGAAUCUGGUAAAUGGUUUAAAGGCUGGGAAGUUAGCAAGAAAUGAUUUCUGCAGACAGUUUCGAUUAGUUGUUGGGGAGCAGUUGCUGCGUUCUGCAAUUCCUGAGAUGCGUGGCUCGGAACAAGACAUAGGGGACUUGUGUUCAUACAGUUGCUGGGUAACCCUUCUACAAAUAUAUAGCAUACUGUACCAUGUCAGUGCCAGCUGCUAUGGAUAUACCUUGAAGUUCUCAUGUGCAGGAUACGAUCAUUGAAGUUUUUGUGAUGGCAUGUUCUCUUCAGUAUGAGUACACUCUUUCAUCAGGAAGUACUUAUUUUGCAGUUGUUGUUGUUGUAGGAUGGUGGUGAAAAUUGACUGCGCAUAAAAGGAAACCAAAUGGGCAGGGUGCCUGGUUUGCAGUACUUAAAUGCUUUGGUUCUAUAUCGCUGAAUACAUUGGAAGCCAUUAGACAACGUAUGGCUCUGUCAGAGAUGAGGUAUGAUGUUACAUCAGUUCUCUAACAUUGAAACUAUUCUUGGUGGAGCACUUUGCAGUUGCUGAGCAUGUACUGCAUUAAGGUACAUUGUUUGUUGUAUGCCCUUGGAUCUUUGAUGUUGAAGUUUGCUUUUACACAGAAAUGGUGUGUAAAAUCUCGGGGUCUGUUUAGCCAUCAUUGAAGGUUUAUCGCUUUUGAGCUUGUAAGUCGAGGAUAAGGUCAUUGUGAAGUUCAUGAACUUUUGUGGACUGGAUAUUUUGAAGGACUCUUAAGGAAGUGCUGUGAAAUGUGAGUCUCUGACUGCUAUCAGAUGAGGGUAACAGAGUUAUGUUAGAUAGAGAUAGAGGGAGUACUCUGAGUAACCUUGAAUAAGAACUGUCAAAUACUUGUUGGUGAGCUCUGGACCGAUCAAGCAAUAGAUAACUGUAAUUUUGUUGAUACUUAAACUUAAUGACUAGAAUAUGACUAGUUUUCUUAUGCGACAUAUUGUGGGCAUAAAAGUCACCUUAGAGAGAGAUCAUAGUUGCUACACGAAGUAAUAAGGCUCAGGUUUGUUGACGUACCUGUAAAUACUGGAUCAUAAAUUUAGAGGAUGGAACUUUUUGUUAUUCA
RNA transcript from Rosa rugosa (rugosa rose), 2423 nucleotides. It is a transcript of the gene named probable inactive poly [ADP-ribose] polymerase SRO3, with no coding region annotated. The transcript has 9 exons. Lineage: Eukaryota; Viridiplantae; Streptophyta; Magnoliopsida; Rosales; Rosaceae. The record is from RefSeq and is a predicted model, not a curated record.